This 3738-nucleotide long non-coding RNA is filed under the name Marmota monax (woodchuck). The record is from RNAcentral. Lineage: Eukaryota; Metazoa; Chordata; Mammalia; Rodentia; Sciuridae.
CUAAGAGAAGAAAAAAAAUAUGAGAAAGGGAAGAGAAGAAAGAGCAGAAGGUACAGAGGAAAAGAAAAGAAGGAGAAAGAAAAAGAGGAGGUGGAGAAAAAGGGAAAGAGAAAUUUUUACACAAAAGGUACAAAGCAUGUGACUUUCCCAGCAGUGCUUAGCUAAAAUGUAAGUAGAGAGAAGUAUAUUGGGAAUGCACAUAUAAAAAUACUAAUAAAUAUGUUUUCUUUUUCAACUUCCUUGUACUUUUUCCCUAAUUAAUUAAAAGAAGUUUUUGGUUUUGAAGGAUUUGAAUUAUUAAUGCAGAAAUGCAAAGAGAAAAGAACAUUAUCAUUAGUUCCACUUUUAAUUUGAAAACUUGAGUUAAAUUACUUUUAGCUUAUUUCCAAAAUAAUGAUUUGAGUGUAAGAGCUACUCUAUAUAAAUAUUUUAAAAUAAAAAUUUUGAGGAAAGAAAAAACAGCUUGAAGAAGUAGGACAAGACUAAAAGGUGAGUGGGGGAAUGAGGUAGAUAUAUAUCAUCUCAGAUACAAACUUUACAUACAAAGUGUCUUAACUCAUAAUUUAUUAUAAUAACAGGUACUAAUAGGUGUUAUAGUUUUAAAGCUUUGAAGUAUAUGCAUUAUUUUUUCAAAGAAAAUAUAAAGAAUUUAGAACAUGGUAUAUUCCAUUUUCUUAAAAUAUCUCACAUUAUUAUCAGGCAAAAUGACUUGCAAACAGUAAGACAAAAUUGCUUGAAAAUGGUCCCAAAUUAUCUUUCUUUUGCAAUUUUUAUUUGUUUCUUUUCUGUUAACAUUUUUGGCAAGAUGAUAAUAACUCUAAUCCUCUUCUUUUUUCUAGUAAUAGUUUUUCUAAUCAAUCGGAUACUAAUAUUAUAAUUAAGACUUGAUCAAAACCCUGAAAUAAGGACAGCUAUGAUUCAAGUUGUCAGCUUUAAAUGUAUAAUGGAUCACGUGAGUGGCUGGGUAGCAGAUGGGGAAACAGAAGAUCUAAGAAAUUAAUGACAUUUCAGCCCUCUGUUCUCUGUGUGUUUUAUGUAAGAAAGGGUUUGUAAUGCUACAAUCCUGAGCCAAAUUGUACUUCAUUAAGAAAAUCUUGAGUUUUUUUAAAUUUCUCUCUUUGUUUUAGCAAAUGAGCAAAACUUUUGAAAACUUUUGAAUUUGCUUAUUCUCAUACUUUGCAUGUCUUUUCUAGCAUUUGCCAAGAAAAAAAAAAUUGUAGAAGAGUUUUAAAGUGACAAAAAUUGCCAACUUUUUUUUUUCUUUUAAUUCUGUGGAGAUAUGCAUUUUUCAUGGUUUGAGCUAUUUUAUUCUUUAAUAUGAUCUGGAAAAUCGAUAGUGAUAUAAAUAAUUUCUUUUUCAGAUAAAUGAAAGUGAAUUUUUGUCCAAAGGAAGUACAAUAGAGUCUCACCUUCUCUUCUGAGGAUACAUUUUUGCAUGUAUUAAGUUCAUUUUACGUAUUAAGUUCAUUUAAACAUUCCUGUUUGCCCAUGUAUGCACAUACUUAUUGAAUUAUUUUUUUAUCCAGAUUAUGUCAUUUUUAUUAUUCCCUCAUUCCUGAGCUACUUAAAUCAAACACUUGACAUAUGUUCAUUUUAUAUUUAUAUUUUACCUUUGUAAAAGUUUUUAAAAAUUAUAUAAUAAGAUUUAGGAAACAAAAACUAUGAAGAUUAAAGAGAGGUUCAUUUUAGGGGGUGAAAAUUAUAUCAUGUUUAUUAUCUGGCUUCUAAGUUAGAAUCAUUAUCAGAAAUAUUUGUGAUCGUCAAUUUCAUUAAUUUGACUGUAUUAGAGAGGUCCAGAUAGCUCAACUGAUGUUGAUAUUUCUGGGUCUGUCUUUAGUGUUUUUAUGGAAUUUAGCAUCUGAAUCAGUCAACUGAGUAAUGAUGAACUGUUACCAAUGGGAAUGCAUCUCCCAAUCUACUGAAGAUUCAGAAAAGAUGAAUUCUGUAAUCCUUUCUCCUGAGCCAUGACCUCCAUUUUUUCCUGCCCUUGUACAUCAGAGCUCCAGGUUCUCAGGUCUUCAGUCUAAGUGGAAGUCUGCCUAUGACUUCUUGUGUUCUCAGUCUUGCCAAUGGCACAUAGUAGGAGCUAUCACCCUCAGUAAUUACAAUAGUCAAUUUCCAUUAUAAAUUUCUGUUGUGUGUGUAUAUGUGAUUUAUCUCUUGGGAGAACAUAGACUAAUGUGUGAUGCAAACAGGAAGACUUCUUAAAGAAAUGUUGACUAAAAACCAAGGGAUGUGUUCAUGUUGACUAAAAACCAAGGGAUGUGUUCAUGUGAGUUGUGUUUUAUUUAUCAAUUUAUUUAAAAAAUGAAGUCAAUGAUGUAUUAUUAUUAUCUGAAUAGUAAAAUUUAUAAAUUUAAAACAAAUGUGACAUCAUCCUUUUGUAUAUGAUUGAUCUUUGAAAUUAGUUCCCAUUUCUUAGGAUUUGUAAUUUUCUCAAGAGUAGUGUAUUUUUAUUUUUAACUUGUAUUUAUACUGAAGUGUAUUUGGAAUAUCCUGAAUUGCUCACACAGAGAUGCUACAGAGCUUCAACUCGACUUAAUGCCUUUUGAAGAAACUUUCCAAUAAGCUAAUAUUUUCAUUAACCAACUUGACAACUAGAAUGAAUCAUUGCUUUGAAGUGCUCAGAGACAGAGGCUGACAGGUCCAUUGUUAAUUUCUCAGUUCAAAGGCACCAAGAAGUCUGCCCAGUUGUCUGGUGACGCCCUGUUUAAAGGGAAAUUCCACGGUCCCUUUAUAUCAGUUCAUGACCUAAGGUUCAGGUGCCAGUGGCCUGUGGGUGGAGAAUUGUGGGUGCAAGAUGAUGGUGUGAUUGGGCUGUUCAAUCUUUUGACCUUACUUCUGUUUUAAAGUAACUUUCUCACAAUGAAUCCCUUUGAUGCAAAAACCCUAUAAAAUAAAUGCACUGAGCCUGCUCUUUAUCAGUCCUCCUCCAUCAGAGGUUGGCUGAAUCACUGGUCCUGUUUUCUCCAUUUCUGUCUUUGCUCUUUUUUUUUUUCCAGAUCCCUCAUCAACCCGGUUCAGGGAAACUGAGUAAACGGUCAUUUUGGAAGUGAUAACUAAACACUUCAUUUUCCAUACUGAUAAUGUUUGUAAUGGUAAAAUGCUCAAAAUCAAAACAAUUUUGUAUAUUAAUUAUAUCAACGCUUCUAAGAGAGAUACAUCUAUAUGUAAACCUAUAUUUAAUUUUGUACAUAUUUUCUAUUAUAUUUCUAUUACAUAAUAUACUUUAUUUGCAGGUUCACCUCCACUUAAAGGUUGAAGCUCUGUAUUUCUUUUGAAAUGUGAAUUCUCCAAAGAGUGGUUGACAUAACAUAGACCACAAUGAGUUAUUAGCUUCUUUGGGUAAAUGGUGACACUAAUACAUUAAUUCACAGUAUUCACCAUUUUUACAUAUCAGGAUGUUUUUCUUCAUAUUGAUAUUAGAUUCUGUUCUGAGUACACAGAAAAUAUGGUAUUAGUGCAAUUUUACUACAUAACACCAAUUUAAAAUUUUCAACCACUUUCAUAGAUAGUAUAACCCAUUUAAGAAUUUUCCUCAGGGAUGUGUGCUUAUUGUUUGAAUAUCCAUGGAAGUUUUUGGUGUGCAGUGACAUUUCUUUAUUCUCAUAUAUUGUUUAUUAUUAUUAUAAAUUUUCUAAUCAUUAUUACAUUUUAUUUUAAAUCAUUUAAGUGUGUAACAUGAGAAAUAUUUAACAGUCAUUUUAAGAAUCAAAAUUUUCAAACCUUAAAAUUUAU